This 1401-nucleotide ribosomal RNA is filed under the name uncultured bacterium. Its description in RNAcentral is "16S ribosomal RNA". It matches the Rfam family "Bacterial small subunit ribosomal RNA". The record is from RNAcentral.
UUCGCCCUUAGAGUUUGAUCCUGGCUCAGGACGAACGCUGGCGGCGUGCUUAACACAUGCAAGUCGAACGGAGCACCCUUGAAAGAGAUUUCGGUCAAUGGAUAGGAAUGCUUAGUGGCGGACGGGUGAGUAACGCGUGAGGAACCUGCCUUUCAGAGGGGGACAACAGCUGGAAACGGCUGCUAAUACCGCAUAACACAUAGGUGUCGCAUGGCAUUUAUGUCAAAGAUUUAUCGCUGAGAGAUGGCCUCGCGUCUGAUUAGCUAGUUGGUAGGGUAACGGCCUACCAAGGCGACGAUCAGUAGCCGGACUGAGAGGUUGGCCGGCCACAUUGGGACUGAGAUACGGCCCAGACUCCUACGGGAGGCAGCAGUGGGGAAUAUUGGGCAAUGGGCGCAAGCCUGACCCAGCAACGCCGCGUGAAGGAAGAAGGCUUUCGGGUUGUAAACUUCUUUUAAGAGGGAAGAGUAGAAGACGGUACCUCUUGAAUAAGCCACGGCUAACUACGUGCCAGCAGCCGCGGUAAUACGUAGGUGGCAAGCGUUGUCCGGAUUUACUGGGUGUAAAGGGCGUGUAGCCGGGCCGGCAAGUCAGAUGUGAAAUCCCAAGGCUCAACCUUGGAACUGCAUUUGAAACUGUAGUUCUUGAGUACUGGAGAGGCAGACGGAAUUCCUAGUGUAGCGGUGAAAUGCGUAGAUAUUAGGAGGAACACCAGUGGCGAAGGCGGUCUGCUGGACAGCAACUGACGCUGAGGCGCGAAAGCGUGGGGAGCAAACAGGAUUAGAUACCCUGGUAGUCCACGCUGUAAACGAUGGAUACUAGGUGUGGGGGGACUGACCCCCUCCGUGCCGCAGUUAACACAAUAAGUAUCCCACCUGGGGAGUACGAUCGCAAGGUUGAAACUCAAAGGAAUUGACGGGGGCCCGCACAAGCGGUGGAGUAUGUGGUUUAAUUCGAAGCAACGCGAAGAACCUUACCAGGGCUUGACAUCCCGGUGACCGCUCUAGAGAUAGAGCUUUCUCUUCGGAGACACUGGAGACAGGUGGUGCAUGGUUGUCGUCAGCUCGUGUCGUGAGAUGUUGGGUUAAGUCCCGCAACGAGCGCAACCCUUAUCUUCAGUAGCCAGCACGUAGAGGUGGGCACUCUGGAGAGACUGCCAGGGAGAACCUGGAGGAAGGUGGGGAUGACGUCAAAUCAUCAUGCCCCUUAUGUCCAGGGCUACACACGUGCUACAAUGGCGUAAACAAAGGGAAGCGAACACGCGAGUGUAAGCGAAUCUCAAAAAUAACGUCCCAGUUCGGAUUGCAGUCUGCAACUCGACUGCAUGAAGCUGGAAUCGCUAGUAAUCGCGAAUCAGAAUGUCGCGGUGAAUACGUUCCCGGGUCUUGCACACACCGCCCG